CAGCCGCCACGGUAAUACGUAGGCGGCAAGCGUUGUCCGGAAUUAUUGGGCGUAAAGGGGGCGCAGGUGGGACGGUAAGUCCGUCUUAAAAGGCAGGGGCUCAGCCCCUGUAAGGGAUGGAAACUAUCGAUCUUGAGUGCCGGAGAGGAAAGCGGAAUUCCCAGUGUAGCGGUGAAAUGCGUAGAUAUUGGGAAGAACACCAGUGGCGAAGGCGGCUUUCUGGACGGCAACUGACACUGAGGCUCGAAAGCCAGGGGAGCGAACGGGAUUAGAGACCCCGGUAGUCCCUGUCUCUUAUACA
Molecule: ribosomal RNA, 301 nt
Filed under: uncultured bacterium
Lineage: Bacteria
Description: partial 16S ribosomal RNA
Rfam family: Bacterial small subunit ribosomal RNA
Source: RNAcentral